Molecule: unclassified non-coding RNA, 580 nt
Filed under: Hevea brasiliensis (rubber tree)
Lineage: Eukaryota; Viridiplantae; Streptophyta; Magnoliopsida; Malpighiales; Euphorbiaceae
Source: RNAcentral
AAAGUGUUCUGAGCGCGUGAUUAGACAUGAGGAAGAGCAGAAUUCUUUUUUGACCAGAAGAUGCGUAAAGGUUCAGAAGCAAGGAAUUGGGGUUGGGAGGUGUGUGGACCUGACAAAGUUUAAUGGCUAUGAUGAAUUCAUGGCAGAACUUGAUCAGAUUUUUGAAUUCAAUGGUGAAUUAAUCGCUUCAAACAAAAACUGGUUGGUCGUUUUCACUGAUGACGAGGGUGACAUGAUGCUUGUGGGAGAUGAUCCCUGGCAGGAAUUCUGUAGCAUGGUCCACGGGAUCUUUGUCUACACGCGAGAGGAGAUAAACAGGAUGAAUUCACGAUCCCUAAUUACGUAUUUGGAAGAAAAUUCAUCGAUUGCAGACCAUAUAGCUGGAAAGAUAGAUCAAAAGCAUCUUCCUACUGUGAGCACCACCUAGAAUAGGAAAAAAGGUUAGAAAGGCAUCUUCUUGGGCAGUGCAGGAUCAUAGUUUGAGAAACUUCUGAAAGUUUUGGCACAACACUAGAAACUUGCUAUGAAAUCUGAAUGGCCAAUUUAUAACUAGGGGACUUGAAGACAAUAUAAAUUGUCG